RNAcentral lists this ribosomal RNA (253 nucleotides) under uncultured bacterium. RNAcentral's name for it is "partial 16S ribosomal RNA". It matches the Rfam family "Bacterial small subunit ribosomal RNA", at positions 524 to 776 of the family's 1533-position model. The record is from RNAcentral.
UACGUAGGGUGCAAGCGUUGUCCGGAAUUAUUGGGCGUAAAGAGCUCGUAGGCGGUUUGUUGCGUCGGCUGUGAAAUCCCGAGGCUCAACCUCGGGUCUGCAGUCGAUACGAGCAAACUAGAGUGUUGCAGGGGAGACUGGAAUUCCUGGUGUAGCGGUGAAAUGCGCAGAUAUCAGGAGGAACACCAGUGGCGAAGGCGGUUCUCUGGGCAUGUCCUGACGCUGAGGAGCGAAAGUGUGGGGAGCGAACCGG